RNAcentral lists this microRNA (19 nucleotides) under Mus musculus (house mouse). RNAcentral's name for it is "mmu-miR-6236". Lineage: Eukaryota; Metazoa; Chordata; Mammalia; Rodentia; Muridae. The record is from miRBase by way of RNAcentral.
GCCGUCGCCGGCAGUCAGG